GAAGCUUUGGGCGCGGCACCGACCGAGUCCCCUGGAACGGGGCGCCAUAGAGGGUGAGAGCCCCGUAUGGUCGGACGCCUAGCCUGUGUAAAGCUCUUUCGACGAGUCGAGUAGUUUGGGAAUGCUGCUCAAAAUGGGAGGUAAAUUUCUUCUAAAGCUAAAUACCGGCCAGAGACCGAUAGCGCACAAGUAGAGUGAUCGAAAGAUGAAAAGCACUUUGAAAAGAGGGUUAAAUAGCACGUGAAAUUGUUGAAAGGGAAGCGCUUGUGACCAGACUUGCGCCCGGCUGAUCAUCCGGUGUUCUCACCGGUGCACUCUGCCGGGCUCAGGCCAGCAUCGGUUCUCGCGGGGGGACAAAGGCCCAGGGAACGUGGCUCCUCCGGGAGUGUUAUAGCCCUGGGUGCAAUGCCCUCGCGGGGACCGAGGUUCGCGCAUCUGCAAGGAUGCUGGCGUAAUGGUCAUCAGCGACCCGUCUUGAAACACGGACCAAGGAGUCAAGGUUUUGCGCGAGUGUUUGGGUGUAAAACCCGCACGCGUAAUGAAAGUGAACGUAGGUGAGAGCUUCGGCGCAUCAUCGACCGAUCCUGAUGUUUUCGGAUGGAUUUGAGUAGGAGCGUUAAGCCUUGGACCCGAAAGAUGGUGAACUAUGCUUGGAUAGGGUGAAGCCAGAGGAAACUCUGGUGGAGGCUCGCAGCGGUUCUGACGUGCAAAUCGAUCGUCAAAUCUGAGCAUGGGG
RNAcentral lists this ribosomal RNA (736 nucleotides) under Staphylotrichum sp. Its description in RNAcentral is "partial large subunit ribosomal RNA". It matches the Rfam family "Eukaryotic large subunit ribosomal RNA", at positions 158 to 922 of the family's 3401-position model. The record is from RNAcentral. Lineage: Eukaryota; Fungi; Ascomycota; Sordariomycetes; Sordariales; Chaetomiaceae.